Molecule: unclassified non-coding RNA, 271 nt
Filed under: Hevea brasiliensis (rubber tree)
Lineage: Eukaryota; Viridiplantae; Streptophyta; Magnoliopsida; Malpighiales; Euphorbiaceae
Source: RNAcentral
GUGAAGGUGAGCACAGUUCUUCGUUGGCCUCAAUCGAAGUCUCUUAAAGCAUUCGAGGGUUCCAUGGUGUUAUAGGCUAUUGCCGGCGUUUUAUUAAGGAUUAUGGGAAGUUAGCUCAGCCUUUAACAACUCUUCUCAAAAAAAGAAAAUCAAGCUUCCUUUUCUUGGCCUUCCUGCAACCCAAGAAGCCUUUGUGAAUCUUCAGCGUGCUAUUACUUCUCUUGUUUUGGCUAUGUCGGACUUUCAGAAACCAUUUAUUAUUGAGUGUGAU